UGUUGUUGAUCUCUUCGGAACUGUGAUGAAUGUUUGAUAUUGCUGAAUUUUUGUUGCAAUUUUUCGUUGUUACAGCUUCACCAUAACUUGUUGCUGGAAGCGUCGGGUGCUGUAUUGAAGAUGAUGUGGGGCUGCCACUGAAGUUCGGAGGCUUUUGAUGAAGGUGAUGCCACAACACCUCUUUGGACUUAUGGGAGCACCUUGAAGAUGGAACUUCAAGUUGUUGGAAGCUUGAAGAUGAAGAUCUUCAAGAAAGGUAUGAAGAAUUACCUUUUUCUUCUUCCUUACUUUGUAACUAGAAUGCUCACCUCCAAUAGAGAAUCUCUUGGCUUGAGAAUUUCUUCUUGCCAAGAGGUCUAUUGAACAAUAUAUGAGCAAUAGAGAGAAGAGAGAAAGCAAGAAUUUAAGUUGCUUUGGUGUGUUUUUUGAAUGAGAAAGAGCCCUCUAUUUAUAGGCAAAGAAAAGGAUAUGUUAGACAUUAUGUAACUUUGUAGCCAAGUUUGUGAUUCUUGUAAGAAAGGAAUAUCCAUUGUGACAUAAGCAAAAAGAUUCCACAUGACAUAAGCCAAAAUAUUCCUUUAUGACAUAAGCCAUGUGAGAAAAUUUUCAUGUCAUUUUAUGAUAUCUCUAAGUUGUAGAAAUUUAUGACAUAAAAAUCUAUCUUUGACUUCUUUGACUUUCUUUGACUUUUGACUUGAUUUGAACUUUUGCUAAAUUCACCCCUUUUAUGUCUCUUUUUCUUUCAUGUCAUAUGAGGACUUUUGAAGAAAACACGAAGAAGGAGACUUGGACAUCAAGAAUGGAUACUUGAAGAUUUCAAGAAUGAAUUCAAUAAUGUUUUUGUAUUUUCUUUUAUUCUUGUAAUUCCAAAAGAAUUUGUAUGAACUUGUAUUCUUGGAACUUUGAAUGUAAUCUUGAAUUUUGAAUGAAGUCCACUUUGGAAUUUAGAACCUUGUAAAGAAUGAUCUUCCUUUGUGGAUGUUUGAAUUUCCUUUGAAA
This is a long non-coding RNA of Vicia villosa (hairy vetch), 999 nucleotides long. RefSeq lists it as uncharacterized. The record is from RefSeq and is a predicted model, not a curated record. The transcript has 2 exons. Lineage: Eukaryota; Viridiplantae; Streptophyta; Magnoliopsida; Fabales; Fabaceae.